AAAUAACACAAGACACAGCGAAAGAUACAAGAGAGAAUUAGAUGAAUUAUAUGAU
RNAcentral lists this non-coding RNA (55 nucleotides) under Trypanosoma brucei brucei. Lineage: Eukaryota; Euglenozoa; Kinetoplastea; Trypanosomatida; Trypanosomatidae. The record is from RNAcentral.